Molecule: non-coding RNA, 71 nt
Organism: Centruroides sculpturatus (bark scorpion)
Lineage: Eukaryota; Metazoa; Arthropoda; Arachnida; Scorpiones; Buthidae
Source: the annotation of a RefSeq genome assembly
AGGAGCAUAGUUUAAUGGUAGAACUGUAGUCUCCAAAACUACUAGUGCGGGUUCGAUUCCUGCUGCUCCUG